Molecule: ribosomal RNA, 439 nt
Filed under: uncultured bacterium
Lineage: Bacteria
Description: partial 16S ribosomal RNA
Rfam family: Bacterial small subunit ribosomal RNA
Source: RNAcentral
CUACGGGUGGCUCCAGUGAGGAAUAUUGCACAAUGGGGGGAACCCUGAUGCAGCAACGCCGCGUGGAGGAUGAAGCAUUUCGGUGUGUAAACUCCUUUUAUAUGUCAAGAAAAUGACGGUAGCAUAUGAAUAAGCACCGGCUAACUCCGUGCCAGCAGCCGCGGUAAUACGGAGGGUGCAAGCGUUACUCGGAAUCACUGGGCGUAAAGGACGCGUAGGCGGGUUGGAAAGUCAGGUGUGAAAUCCUACAGCUUAACUGUAGAACUGCACUUGAAACUUCUAAUCUAGAGUAUGGGAGGGGGAGAUGGAAUUAGUGGUGUAGGGGUAAAAUCCGUAGAUAUCACUAGGAAUACCUAACGCGAAGGCGAUCUCCUGGAACAUUACUGACGCUAAGGCGUGAAAGCGUGGGGAGCAAACAGGAUUAGAUACCCUUGUAGUC